CCUACGGGUGGCAGCAGUGAGGAAUAUUGGUCAAUGGGCGAGAGCCUGAACCAGCCAAGUCGCGUGAGGGAAGACGGUCCUAUGGAUUGUAAACCUCUUUUGCCGGGGAGCAAAAAGCGGUACGUGUACCGCAUCGAGAGUACCCGGAGAAAAAGCAUCGGCUAACUCCGUGCCAGCAGCCGCGGUAAUACGGAGGAUGCGAGCGUUGUCCGGAUUUACUGGGUGUAAAGGGCGUGUAGCCGGGAAGGCAAGUCAGAUGUGAAAUCCGGAGGCUCAACCUCCGAAUUGCAUUUGAAACUGUUUUUCUUGAGUACUGGAGAGGCAGACGGAAUUCCUUGUGUAGCGGUGAAAUGCGUAGAUAUAAGGAGGAACACCAGUGGCGAAGGCGGUCUGCUGGACAGCAACUGACGGUGAGGCGCGAAAGCGUGGGGAGCAAACAGGAUUAGAUACCCGAGUAGUC
Molecule: ribosomal RNA, 460 nt
Filed under: uncultured bacterium
Lineage: Bacteria
Description: partial 16S ribosomal RNA
Rfam family: Bacterial small subunit ribosomal RNA
Source: RNAcentral